Molecule: microRNA precursor, 192 nt
Filed under: Dichanthelium oligosanthes
Lineage: Eukaryota; Viridiplantae; Streptophyta; Magnoliopsida; Poales; Poaceae
Description: MIR1435 microRNA precursor family
Rfam family: MIR1435 microRNA precursor family
Source: Rfam by way of RNAcentral
UUAGGUUGUCCUAAGUCAAAUUUCUCUAACUUUGACCAAGUUUAUAUAAAAAUACACAACAUUUACAAUACUAAAUAAAUUACACUAUCAAGACAUUUCAUGGCCGAUUCAAUAAAACUAAUUUGAUGUUGUUGAUGCUUUUUCCUAUAAACUUGGUCAAAGUUAGAGCAGUUUGACUUAGGACAAAGCUAA